GAUGAACGCUCGCUACAGGCUUAACACAUGCAAGUCGAGGGGCAGCGGUAUCGAAAGCUUGCUUUCGGUAGCCGGCGACCGGCGCACGGGUGAGUAACGCGUAUCGAACCUGCCUCAUACUCGGGAAUAGCCUUGCGAAAGUAAGAUUAAUGCCCGGUGUUUUCAGAGUCCCGCAUGAGGCUUUGAACAAAGAUUUAUCGGUAUGAGAUGGCGAUGCGUCCCAUUAGCUUGUUGGCGGGGUAACGGCCCACCAAGGCAUCGAUGGGUAGGGGUUCUGAGAGGAAGGUCCCCCACAUUGGAACUGAGACACGGUCCAAACUCCUACGGGAGGCAGCAGUGAGGAAUAUUGGUCAAUGGGCGGAAGCCUGAACCAGCCAAGUAGCGUGCAGGAAGACGGCCCUCCGGGUUGUAAACUGCUUUUAGUUGGGAAUAAAACGGGGCUCGUGAGCCCCCUUGCAUGUACCAUCAGAAAAAGAACCGGCUAAUUCCGUG
This 492-nucleotide ribosomal RNA is filed under the name uncultured bacterium. RNAcentral's name for it is "partial 16S ribosomal RNA". It matches the Rfam family "Bacterial small subunit ribosomal RNA", at positions 28 to 507 of the family's 1533-position model. The record is from RNAcentral.